RNAcentral lists this ribosomal RNA (253 nucleotides) under uncultured bacterium. Its description in RNAcentral is "partial 16S ribosomal RNA". It matches the Rfam family "Bacterial small subunit ribosomal RNA", at positions 524 to 776 of the family's 1533-position model. The record is from RNAcentral.
AACGUAGGUGGCGAGCGUUAUCCGGAUUUACUGGGCGUAAAACGUGUGCAGGCGGGGGGAUAAGUGGUGUAUGAAAUUUCCCAGCUUAACUGGGAGGGGUUAUGCCAGACUGUCACUCUAGAGUGCGAGAGAGGAACGUGGAAUUCCGGGUGUAGUGGUGAAAUGCGUAGAGAUCCGGAGGAACCCCAGAGGCGAAGGCGGCGUUCUGGCUCGCAACUGACGCUCAGACACGACAGCAUGGGGAGCGAACGGG